Molecule: ribosomal RNA, 454 nt
Filed under: uncultured bacterium
Lineage: Bacteria
Description: partial 16S ribosomal RNA
Rfam family: Bacterial small subunit ribosomal RNA
Source: RNAcentral
GGUGAACGCUGGCAGAAUGCUUAACACAUGCAAGUCAACUUGCACUUCGGUAUGGGUGUCGGACGGGUGAGUACCGCGUACAGAACUUGCCUCACAGCUAGGGACAACAUUUUGAACCGAAUGCUAAUACCUGAUAUUAUGCUUAUAUGGCAUCGUAUAAUUAUGAAAGCUAUAUGCGCUGUGAGAGAGCUUUGCGUCCCAUUAGCUAGUUGGAGAGGUAACAGCUCAGCAAGGCGAUGAUGAGUAGCCGGCCUGGGAGGGUGAUCGGCCACAGGGGGACUGAGACACGGCCAGUACGGAUACGGGAGGAAGGAGCGGAAAAGUGUGGAAGACGGACCGAGAGUGUGAUGCAGCAAUUCGGGGUGUACGAUGAAUUUUUUCGGAAAGUAAAGUGCUUUCAGAUUGGAAGAAAAAAAUGACGGUACCAAAAGAAGAAGCGACGGCUAAAUACGUG